Molecule: ribosomal RNA, 426 nt
Filed under: uncultured bacterium
Lineage: Bacteria
Description: bacterial SSU rRNA
Rfam family: Bacterial small subunit ribosomal RNA
Source: RNAcentral
UGGGGAAUCUUGCGCAAUGGGCGAAAGCCUGACGCAGCAACGCCGCGUGAGGGAUGACGGCCUUCGGGUUGUAAACCUCUUUCGAGCAGGGACGAUUGUGACGGUACCUGCAGAAGAAGCUCCGGCCAACUACGUGCCAGCAGCCGCGGUAAUACGUAGGGAGCGAGCGUUGUCCGGAAUCAUUGGGCGUAAAGAGCUCGUAGGCGGCUCGGUAAGUCAGAUGUGAAACCUCCAGGCUCAACCUGGAGUCGCCAUCUGAUACUGCUGUGGCUAGAGUCCGGUAGGGGCCCACGGAACUCCUGGUGUAGCGGUGAAAUGCGCAGAUAUCAGGAAGAACACCGGUGGCGAAGGCGGUGGGCUGGGCCGGCACUGACGCUGAGGAGCGAAAGCGUGGGGAGCGAACAGGAUUAGAUACCCCCGUAGUCC